CCAACAUGAGCAUCCUGUAACUUUGAAAAGAAAAAAAAGAGAGUUGUGAGCUUUACAACACGGUAAGAAUUCUCCACACUCAUACCAGCAUGAGUAUGAAAUAUGUUUUUAACAAAUAUACAUAACAGAUAGGAAAUAAGAUUUAUAUAUCAUCAAUUUGAUGGUUAAAUAAUAUCAUCAUGUACAAUUCUAUUAAACACGUCACAUAUCACC
Molecule: long non-coding RNA, 213 nt
Filed under: Elaeis guineensis (African oil palm)
Lineage: Eukaryota; Viridiplantae; Streptophyta; Magnoliopsida; Arecales; Arecaceae
Description: long non-coding RNA (EGUI_LNC006026)
Source: RNAcentral